Molecule: long non-coding RNA, 691 nt
Filed under: Homo sapiens (human)
Lineage: Eukaryota; Metazoa; Chordata; Mammalia; Primates; Hominidae
Description: HSALNT0022127
Source: RNAcentral
AAUGUAAAAUGUACUAUCUUCACUGAGGCUGCUUUGCAAUUUAAAAAUAUGAAAGUUAGAAGUUGCCUGGCCUUUGCUUCACCUCCAACCUCUCUACAAAAGUAUGACAGUGACUCUGAUUGUCAUUGUGAAACUGCCAGUGUUAGAGAGGCAUGGUUGGAGGAGGACCUCAUCAACCUCCAAGCUCUGCUUCAUUCUUUUCCAUGAUUGUUUCUCCUCUGAGAUGAGAAACAGCAUUACAAGAGUCUCUUGUGUUCAUGAGAUCAGAAAUUUCUGAGAGUUUUGUUUUCCAUUUAAAUUGUAGUUUAAAUUUGUAGGGAAACCAGAAAUGGCCAAGUUUUCCAUUUAAGAGAUCCCAGCAAAGUUUGUGACCCAGGGCAAUCUCUAAACACAAACUCCCAAAUUAGUUUUUCUUGUAACUUUGGCCUUUAGGCAGGUACCAACUAUAAAAAGCAGUGACCAUGAUGGGUCUGCCUGGGAACAUGCUUUCAAAGAUUUCCAGGCCUUCAUCUUGCCAUGACUGUUGGAAGACUUUUGGCUUCACUCUGAAAGCCAUAAAACCAUAAAGCAGAUCUGAGAAAAACCCACAGCUGCAUACAUCUGAUGACAGUCAAACUGAUUUUCCAAAGAUAAGGAGUUCAGCAAAACCCAAACUCCAUGAUGGCAACAAUGCUGGACCUUUACUCCCCCA